Molecule: ribosomal RNA, 597 nt
Filed under: Trametes sp. X363
Lineage: Eukaryota; Fungi; Basidiomycota; Agaricomycetes; Polyporales; Polyporaceae
Description: eukaryotic LSU rRNA
Rfam family: 5.8S ribosomal RNA (bases 199-352)
Source: RNAcentral
AUCAUUAACGAGUUUUGAAACGGGUUGUAGCUGGCCUUCCGAGGCAUGUGCACGCCCUGCUCAUCCACUCUACACCUGUGCACUUACUGUAGGUUGGUGUGGGYUUCUGACCUCYGGGUUAGGAGCGUUCUGCCGGCCUAUGUACACUACAAACUCUUAAAGUAUCAGAAUGUAAACGCGUCUAACGCAUCUUAAUACAACUUUCAGCAACGGAUCUCUUGGCUCUCGCAUCGAUGAAGAACGCAGCGAAAUGCGAUAAGUAAUGUGAAUUGCAGAAUUCAGUGAAUCAUCGAAUCUUUGAACGCACCUUGCGCUCCUUGGUAUUCCGAGGAGCAUGCCUGUUUGAGUGUCAUGGAAUUCUCAACUCAUAAAUYUUUGUUGGUUUAUGGGCUUGGAUUUGGAGGCUUGCUGGCCCUUAGUCGGUCAGCUCCUCUUGAAUGCAUUAGCUUGAUUCCGUGCGGAUCGGCUCUCAGUGUGAUAAUUAUCUACGCUGUGACCGUGAAGYGUUUGGCGAGCUUCUAACCGUCCAUUAGGACAGCUUUCUGACAUCUGACCUCAAAUCAGGUAGGACUACCCGCUGAACUUAAGCAUAUCAAU